This is a long non-coding RNA of Zingiber officinale, 675 nucleotides long. RefSeq lists it as uncharacterized. The transcript has 3 exons. Lineage: Eukaryota; Viridiplantae; Streptophyta; Magnoliopsida; Zingiberales; Zingiberaceae. The record is from RefSeq and is a predicted model, not a curated record.
CUUUUAUUUCCUCACCCGCGUGCCCUAAAACCCACGCCGACACCUUCCUCUCCCGAUUCUCCCUUCGCGUCGAACCGCCGCCGUCCCUCCCUCAUCGAGCCGAUGUCUCCUCUUCGCGUGAGGCUAGGACGAUGAUGCCGCUAGCCACGGGAGAAUCGUUGUCGCUCUUACCUUCGCCGGCGAUCCUCAUCCUCGACGCACGCCGCACCCGAUCGACCCGGUGCUGCACAUCUCGGUGACAACAAAGCUUAUACCUCUUCUAUUCCCUAAUUUGAAGAUUCUCCGGUGGAUCUUCUCUUCGGCUAGCCAUCUCACGUAUGGCUUCGGUGGCCGGAGGUCGGCAGAUCGGAGCCCUAGGUCCACCGGAGUGAGGCUAGGGUUCCAACGACAAAUCUUUGGAUUGAAUCGACAUUCCAAAAGGUUGUCUUCCCUUUCGUGGCAUUGCAACCAAUUUCCACCACCGAAACCUUCAUCACGUAUCUGAUGUAGUGUUUCUAGCGGUUGGAGUUGUUGUGGCCAACAGAAGCGCAACUGGUUGCAGAGCGAUCACAGAGGUGCCGAAGGAUUGGAGUGAGGGGAUCAGAUCUGAAAUUGUUAGAGGAAGCUAAGGAUUUUGAUCGAGGCAGGUGUCGUGACGAAGUGGAUAUCGGAUUCAGACUACAUUUAGAGGCGGGU